GGAACAGUAUGUCAUAUAUGCAUGAACUUGAUUGAUGUAUUGAUGUAUAAUGAACUGAAGAUAUAAUGAAUUCAAUCAGGUUAAAAAAAAUGUAUGUGCAAAAGCGACUCGAAGACGAUUUAGAUUUGUCUCCUGAAUAUAAAACUUCCAAGAAGUACAUCAUAUAUGAAUAUCCUGUAUCCUCGCAUUUGAUGUAUUGAACUGGCGAUAGAAUGAAAUCAGUCAGUGUU
Molecule: long non-coding RNA, 230 nt
Organism: Ctenocephalides felis (cat flea)
Lineage: Eukaryota; Metazoa; Arthropoda; Insecta; Siphonaptera; Pulicidae
Exons: 2
Source: RefSeq, a predicted model, not a curated record